UUCUGCAACAUAGCAAUAAGUAAGCAUGCAUAGCCCUUCCCCAUCUUCCCGGACAGCACACCCAGUUUCCAGGAAGGACUCAUGAGUAAACACUAACACAAACUUCACCCACAUUUCUUUUCUUUCGCAGUCUCGAGCGAGACUUUCACUUUAUCUUUGAGAUUUAAAGUGUGCCUCCCUUCCAACUGAAACGGUGUACUCACGUAACAAGGCACUUCACCAGGACACGGGCAUGCAAGAGAAGAAUGUAAAGCGGCUAAGUUGCAAAGUAACCAUUCAGGCGAUCAAUUCGCCGUGCCCAGGGACACAGGUCUCCUCUCUCCAACCUGCAAGACCCUUUACAACCACCCCGGUGUUCAGAACCCCUUUUGCCCAUCUUGUUUUCCUGGAGUCCACCAGUGCAGGAAACUGGAAAAUGACAUUUAUUCAAUACCUUUCAGGAUCCUGCAUUAUGCUUACCCAGCGUUCCUCCUCUGAGUUAAGUUAAACCAUCACGGCCUGAUGCAUAAAUAGGUUUUUUAAAAAGGCUCCCCCCUGCACUGGGAAAAGAGAGGAGACAGGGAGGUGCCGAGGCUGCUCUGCCACGUCAUCACCCUCUGUUUCAUGUUUCUUUGUGGAGGAGUACAAAAGUACUACUAGACUGCAAAAUAUGUAAAUCCAAGUCUGAAAGUUUGAAAGCAGUAAAGUUGCAUCGUUCCAUAGUUCAUAUCAUUUUAUGGAAAAUAAAAUUAUUCUUCCAAAUACA
This is a long non-coding RNA of Anguilla rostrata (American eel), 745 nucleotides long. RefSeq lists it as uncharacterized. The transcript has 3 exons. NCBI's taxonomy places the organism in Eukaryota, Metazoa, Chordata, Actinopteri, Anguilliformes, Anguillidae. The record is from RefSeq and is a predicted model, not a curated record.